RNAcentral lists this ribosomal RNA (327 nucleotides) under Triticum aestivum (bread wheat). Its description in RNAcentral is "partial small subunit ribosomal RNA". The record is from RNAcentral. Lineage: Eukaryota; Viridiplantae; Streptophyta; Magnoliopsida; Poales; Poaceae.
AUGCAGCACAUCCUCAUCGGCUGUCCCUUCUCCAGGCAAGUCUGGCAUGAUAUUCUUGCCUGGAUUCGCGUCACCGUCAGUACACCAUUAGGCAACGAGGGAUUCCUCCCAUGGUGCACGUCGGUCAUCUGCAACUCCCCCGCCUGCCCCCGCAAAGGACUCGCCACGCGGGCCAUCGUAACGACAUGGUCUAUCUGACGCCACCACAACGGUUGCAUCUUCGAUGGUGAGACCCCCUCCGUGCCAAGAUUGAUUGCAUCUAUCCAAGAUGAGGCACGGUCAUGGGCUAGAGCGGGCGCCCACGGACUUAGAUCGUUACUCGAGUAA